UUCCGGUUGAUCCCGCCGGACCUGACUGCUAUCGGAUUGGUACUAAGCCAUGCGAGUCGUUGUAGCAAUACAAGGCGGACGGCUCAGUAACACGUAGUCAACCUAACCUAUGGACGUGGAUAACCUCGGGAAACUGAGAAUAAACCGCGAUAGAUCAUUAUGCCUGGAAUGGCUUAUGGUCCAAACAAUUUAUUGCCGUAGGAUGGGACUGCGGCCUAUCAGCUUGUUGGUGAGGUAAUGGCCCACCAAGGCUAUAACAGGUACGGGCUCUGAGAGGAGAAGCCCGGAGAUGGGUACUGAGACACGGACCCAGGCCCUAUGGGGCGCAGCAGGCGAGAAACCUUAGCAAUGUGCGAAAGCACGACUAGGUUAAUCCGAGUGAUUUCUGUUGAAGAAAUCUUUUGUCAGUCGUAAAACCACAGACGAAUAAGGGGUGGGCAAGUCUGGUGUCAGCCGCCGCGGUAAUACCAGCACCUCGAGUGGUCAGGAGGUUUAUUGGGCCUAAAGCAUCCGUAGCCGGCUACGCAAGUCUCCGGUUAAAUCCAACUGCUCAUCAGAUGGGCUGCCGGAGAUACUACAUAGCUAGGGAGCGGGAGAGGUAGACGGUAUUCUGUGGGUAGGGGUAAAAUCCACUGAUCCAUAGAGGACCACCAGUGGCGAAGGCGGUCUACCAGAACGCGUUCGACGGUGAAGGAUGAAAGCUGGGGGAGCGAACCGGAUUAGAUACCCGGGUAGUCCCAGCUGUAAACGAUGCAAACUCGGUGAUGCAUUGGCUUAUGGCCAAUGCAGUGCCGCAGGGAAGCCGUUAAGUUUGCCGCCUGGGAAGUACGGACGCAAGUCUGAAACUUAAAGGAAUUGGCGGGGGAGCACCACAAGGGGUGAAGCCUGCGGUUCAAUUGGAUUCAACGCCGGG
This 913-nucleotide ribosomal RNA is filed under the name uncultured crenarchaeote. Its description in RNAcentral is "bacterial SSU rRNA". It matches the Rfam family "Archaeal small subunit ribosomal RNA", at positions 1 to 922 of the family's 1478-position model. The record is from RNAcentral. Lineage: Archaea; Thermoproteati; Thermoproteota.